Molecule: non-coding RNA, 211 nt
Filed under: Priestia megaterium
Lineage: Bacteria; Bacillati; Bacillota; Bacilli; Caryophanales; Bacillaceae
Description: Bacillus megaterium T-box sequence
Rfam family: T-box leader
About the family: Uncharged tRNA acts as the effector for transcription antitermination of genes in the T-box leader family. T-boxes are found upstream of many aminoacyl-tRNA synthetase genes and some amino acid biosynthetic genes usually in Gram-positive bacteria.
Source: RNAcentral
UAAACUGCAGUGAUAGGAAGAAGUAAUACUUGUCUCCCUGUUUAAGAGAGCUGAUGGUUGCUGAAAAUCAGUACAUAGACAAAUAUGAAAUACGUCCUUGAGCAUCUUUUGUGAACUUACAGUAGCAAAAGACGGGUAGACCGUUACAUCAUUUAAGUGGGAAAUAAUUUAUUUCCAAAUAGGGUGGUACCGCGAUAUUUUCGUCCCUUCU